GAUGAACGCUGGCGGCGUGCCUAAUACAUGCAAGUCGAGCGAACAGACGAGGAGCUUGCUCCUCUGACGUUAGCGGCGGACGGGUGAGUAACACGUGGAUAACCUACCUAUAAGACUGGGAUACUUCGGGAAACCGGAGCUAAUACCGGAUAAUAUAUUGAACCGCAUGGUUCAAUAGUGAAAGACGGUUUUGCUGUCACUUAUAGAUGGAUCCGCGCCGCAUUAGCUCGUUGGUAGGGUAACGGCUUACCAAGGCGACGAUCCGUAGCUGGCCUGAGAGGAUGAUCAGCCACACUGGAACUGAGACACGGUCCAGACUCCUACGGGAGGCAGCAGUGGGGAAUAUUGGACAAUGGGCGCAAGCCUGAUCCAGCCAUACCGCGUGGGUGAAGAAGGCCUUCGGGUUGUAAAGCCCUUUUGUUGGGAAAGAAAUCUUUCAGGCUAAUACCCUGGGAGGAUGACGGUACCCAAAGAAUAAGCACCGGCUAACUUCGUG
Molecule: ribosomal RNA, 496 nt
Filed under: uncultured bacterium
Lineage: Bacteria
Description: partial 16S ribosomal RNA
Rfam family: Bacterial small subunit ribosomal RNA
Source: RNAcentral